CAGCACCUCAAGUGGUCAGGAUGAUUAUUGGGCCUAAAGCAUCCGUAGCCGGCGCUGUAAGUUUUCGGUUAAAUCUGUACGCUCAACGUACAGGCUGCCGGGAAUACUGCAGCGCUAGGUAGUGGGAGAGGUAGACGGUACUCGGUAGGAAGGGGUAAAAUCCUUUGAUCUAUUGAUGACCACCUGUGGCGAAGGCGGUCUACCAGAACACGUCCGACGGUGAGGGAUGAAAGCUGGGGGAGCAAACCGGAUUAGAUACCCGAGUAGUCC
Molecule: ribosomal RNA, 270 nt
Filed under: uncultured archaeon
Lineage: Archaea
Description: partial 16S ribosomal RNA
Rfam family: Archaeal small subunit ribosomal RNA
Source: RNAcentral